Molecule: ribosomal RNA, 558 nt
Filed under: Alternaria alternata
Lineage: Eukaryota; Fungi; Ascomycota; Dothideomycetes; Pleosporales; Pleosporaceae
Description: eukaryotic LSU rRNA
Rfam family: 5.8S ribosomal RNA (bases 181-334)
Source: RNAcentral
GCGGAGGGAUCAUUACACAAAUAUGAAGGCGGGCUGGAACCUCUCGGGGUUACAGCCUUGCUGAAUUAUUCACCCUUGUCUUUUGCGUACUUCUUGUUUCCUUGGUGGGUUCGCCCACCACUAGGACAAACAUAAACCUUUUGUAAUUGCAAUCAGCGUCAGUAACAAAUUAAUAAUUACAACUUUCAACAACGGAUCUCUUGGUUCUGGCAUCGAUGAAGAACGCAGCGAAAUGCGAUAAGUAGUGUGAAUUGCAGAAUUCAGUGAAUCAUCGAAUCUUUGAACGCACAUUGCGCCCUUUGGUAUUCCAAAGGGCAUGCCUGUUCGAGCGUCAUUUGUACCCUCAAGCUUUGCUUGGUGUUGGGCGUCUUGUCUCUAGCUUUGCUGGAGACUCGCCUUAAAGUAAUUGGCAGCCGGCCUACUGGUUUCGGAGCGCAGCACAAGUCGCACUCUCUAUCAGCAAAGGUCUAGCAUCCACUAAGCCUUUUUUUCAACUUUUGACCUCGGAUCAGGUAGGGAUACCCGCUGAACUUAAGCAUAUCAAUAAGCGGAGGAAAU